RNAcentral lists this ribosomal RNA (443 nucleotides) under uncultured bacterium. RNAcentral describes it as "partial 16S ribosomal RNA". It matches the Rfam family "Bacterial small subunit ribosomal RNA", at positions 338 to 795 of the family's 1533-position model. The record is from RNAcentral.
CCUACGGGAGGCAGCAGUGGGGGAUAUUGGACAAUGGGGGGAACCCUUAUCCAGCGACGCCGCGUGAGUGAAGAAGUAUUUCGGUAUGUAAAGCUCUGUCAGCAGGGAAGCACGAACUGACGGUACCUGACCAAGAAGCCCCGGCUAACUACGUGCCAGCAGCCGCGGUACUCCGUAGGGGGCACGCGUUCUCCGGAAUUACUGGUUGUAAAGGGAGCGUAGACGGUUAAGUAAGCCUGGAGUGAAAGGCCGGGGCCCAACCCCGGGACUGCUCUGGAAACUAUUGAACUUGAGUGCAGGAGAGGGAAGCGGAAUGCCGAGUGUAGCGGUGAAAUGCGUAGAUAUUAGGAGGAACACCAGUGGCGAAGGCGGCUUACUGGACUGUAACUGACGUUGAGGCGCGAAAGCGUGGGGAGCAAACAGGAUUAGAUACCCCGGUAGUC